Non-coding RNA from Phascolarctos cinereus (koala), 1160 nucleotides. Lineage: Eukaryota; Metazoa; Chordata; Mammalia; Diprotodontia; Phascolarctidae. The record is from RefSeq and is a predicted model, not a curated record.
GGGAAAUGUAGUCCCAAGAGGUGGCCUUCUCUUUAUCCUGAUUCCUGUAAUGGCUGCUUCCUGUCCGGUAAUAUAAGAGUCCUGACCCCAGGGAUCCUUAGCUGUUGUCGCUGCUGCCACAGCGCCGAGUACUCCCGGGGAAAGGUGCCAUAAAGGGAAGCCUUGAUCUUCAGCCAGAAGGGAGAGUGCCCCGCACGUUGCCCGGUGCAUAGCCCGGCUCUUGAUACUAGCCUUGAUUAUUUUCCUUCAGCCUUCAAGAUCCAGGCAACAUGGCCUCCAUUGGCGAUAUCUCCAAAGUGUUCCUGGUCCUCCUUUCCCUGCUCUGUGUGCUGCCUGUUGUUGAAGCAGUAGAAGCUGGGGAUGGCAUAGCACUUCUGUUGGGCAUGUUUCUGAGCCUUACAGGCAUUUGUGCCUGUUUGGGGAUAUAUGCCAGAAAGAGAAAUGGACAGAUGUGACUUUGGUGGGGGAUGGGGUCUCCCAAGUCAGACAUGGACCUGAAAACCUCUCUGUGUUUGAGAUUUCAAACUGAGAAAUCAGUUUCUUAAACAUCAAGGUCCAGAUAGUAAGCAAAUGGUUAUUUUCUAUUCCUUGGAAGAUGUUGCCUUAAAAUGUAAAAGCUGCUUUAUGUGAAAGUGGAAGGAGGGGUCAUUUUAUUCACGUUCAGUAUAAGCCUGAUGGUUCAUCAAUGUGAAAAUUGGUCAAUAACUUGUAAGGACUGAUAGGAUAGGGUGAAGGGUGCUGUGAAAGAAAUAAAGUAACUAUCAUUUAAUCUAAGUGGUAUUCCAUGACUUCUGGAGUAACGAAGAUAUAGGAAAAAGGAACUACCUGUUUAAAAUUGUUGGACGUCAGAUAUCUUCUGUACCCUAAUAUUAUCCAAAGAGGAGUUGAAGAAUCCUUGUUCUGUAUUUAUAUAAAAAAAUUUGUCUAGUUUGUAGCCCCAGAUAAAUACUACAGUUAAACAUAAAAGUUCACCUAGUAGGCAUUUGGAAGUUUAGAAAAUUCUUUCUUCAUAAGGAAUUCAGAAACAUGUAUGUUACUACAUAUUUGCUGUUUAAAUAAAGGAAAGAUUUAAUGUUUAAAAAAAAGUUUUAUAUUGACUACUAAGCACCUCUGUGAAACACAUUAAAAUAAACAUUAGACUGCUGUGCUAACAAAAUGAA